GAUGAACGCUGGCGGCGUGCCUAAUACAUGCAAGUCGAGCGAACAGACGAGGAGCUUGCUCCUCUGACGUUAGCGGCGGACGGGUGAGUAACACGUGGAUAACCUACCUAUAAGACUGGGAUAACUUCGGGAAACCGGAGCUAAUACCGGAUAAUAUAUUGAACCGCAUGGUUCAAUAGUGAAAGACGGUUUUGCUGUCACUUAUAGAUGGAUCCUCGCCGCAUUAGCUAGUUGGUAAGGUAACGGCUUACCAAGGCGACGAUGCGUAGCCGACCUGAGAGGGUGAUCGGCCACACUGGAACUGAGACACGGUCCAGACUCCUACGGGAGGCAGCAGUAGGGAAUCUUCCGCAAAGGGCGAAAGCCUGACGGAGCAACGCCGCGUGAGUGAUGAAGGUCUUCGGAUCGUAAAACUCUGUUAUUAGGGAAGAACAAAUGUGUAAGUAACUAUGCACGUCUUGACGGUACCUAAUCAGAAAGCCACGGCUAACUACGUG
RNAcentral lists this ribosomal RNA (497 nucleotides) under uncultured bacterium. Its description in RNAcentral is "partial 16S ribosomal RNA". It matches the Rfam family "Bacterial small subunit ribosomal RNA", at positions 28 to 507 of the family's 1533-position model. The record is from RNAcentral.